GCAGGGUGUUCCGGCGCAUGCCUGUAAUCCCAGCUUCUCUGAGGCUGAAGCAGGAGGCUUGCAAGAAAGAUCCUAUGUUGUAGGCCAGCAUGGGCAAUUUAGCUAGACCCUGUCUCAA
RNAcentral lists this small RNA (118 nucleotides) under Marmota monax (woodchuck). Lineage: Eukaryota; Metazoa; Chordata; Mammalia; Rodentia; Sciuridae. The record is from RNAcentral.